GUCAAGUUUUCAAGGGCGCAUGGUGGAUGCCUUGGCAUCAGGAGCCGAAGAAGGACGUGGGAAUCUGCGAUAAGCCUGGAGGAGUCGAUAACCGGACGUUGAUUCCAGGAUUUCCGAAUGGGGAAACCCGG
Molecule: ribosomal RNA, 131 nt
Filed under: uncultured bacterium
Lineage: Bacteria
Description: partial 23S ribosomal RNA
Rfam family: Bacterial large subunit ribosomal RNA
Source: RNAcentral